Molecule: long non-coding RNA, 7932 nt
Organism: Symphalangus syndactylus (siamang)
Lineage: Eukaryota; Metazoa; Chordata; Mammalia; Primates; Hylobatidae
Source: RefSeq, a predicted model, not a curated record
AUAAUCUGAAAUCACAGAAGAAUGAAAAAUUCUGAGUUAUUUACUCCAGCUGGAUCUCUUAAGACUGUUCAAAUUUCAGACCUAAUUGAUAAUCUGUGAAAUAUUAAAGUCUCUAACCAAGCUGUUUCAUUUCAGAUUCUUCCCAAAACCUUGAGGUAGGGGAAAGAAUCAUCUUUAAUAUGUCAACUCGUGAUUAUUGAGGCAAUUAUCACUUUUUUAAGUUGAGGAAAAUGCUUAUUAGAUUGUUGAAGCUGCCUUGAGGGGCAAAAGAAGUGAUAAGGCUGGUAUCUCUGGUGCUUCGUAAUUGGUCCAUUUAAGUGUAUGACCUGUAGGGAUAGUGUCAAAGCUAAGGCUUUUGGACAGACAUGUGAAAUAGUUUGUAAAGAUUUGGUCUGGAGUCUUGCAAUCUUUUUUUUUCUGCAUACUCCUGCUCUUUACGGUCACCGCUUGGCUAGGCCUACCAUUUUUGGAAGUUCUUGAAUUUCCUUUUUACCCAGUCAGUGAUUUUCCUUGCUCUGUGGGGUAGGUCUCAGGUAGUUCUGCAGUUGAUCUGUUCAUUAACCAGUAAGAAAUGCGAGACACACUGGUGUCCAGCAUUGGGUCUGCAAAUGUUAGACACAGGCCUUGAUCUCUAGGAACUAGUUUAGUUGGAGAGACAGUAAGGUAGCAAAGUAUGUAAGGGAUGGCUUACAGAACGUCCAUUCCUAUUGUAGUCUGUUGCUGACCUCUUAAUUGACAGUUGACUUUCAAGAUGGUAGAAAUGCUGCUUUUCAUGACUAAAAUAAUGUUUUAUGGCUCAGAGAGCCUUACUUCCUAAUUCUCUAGAGCAAAACACUGAUUUAGGGAAUAUGAAAUGUAUGUUUAUGUAUGGCAGGAACAAAGAAUCUGAGGCCAGACUCUUGAGUUUGAUUUCUAGCUCUGCCAAAUAUUCGCUUGGGCAACCUCAUUUGACCUCUUUGCUUCUUUAUCUGCUUAAUAUACUAAUCUAGCUCUAUAGUAAUUGGAAGGAUUAGAGUGUAAAGAACAGACCCUAACAUAAUACUGAGCCUUAUAUAGUGUUGGUUAUUACUGUUUUCUGACUUUGCAAAGAUGCUGCUUCACCAUAAACAUAAAAAGAUUGAAUGUCUUCCUAGUGUGUGGGGAAAUGGUUUGUUCAUUUAUGUAUUUGUUUCACAAAAUAGAUAACAUUAAAUGUAACUCUCUGAAGUGAGGCAUAGAUUUUGUGAAAGCACAGUGAAUGUUCAUUUACCGACAGUGGAUAGCAAAAUGGGAUGUUUUGGGUAAAUAACAUUUUGAUUUCAUUAAAAUUAUCAUAUGUGUAAUCCAUUUUCCAUGGGUUAGGUAAUAAUAAAGUUGAUCUUUGCAACUGCUAAAUUGAAGUUUUAUUUUUUAAUCCAAAGUAUUUCACUGUAUAACUUCAAGAGGCGCCAUUUAUGCAGACUCUCAUACGAAUAGUCCUCUCCUGAAGCUGUGCAGUGUGGUUAGCCCUGAGAGAGGAUGCUUACUGGGUGGGAGACAACCCUCCAAUAUCUGCAUGCUUUCAUGCUUCUUAAUUUAUCUCAGAGUUAGUAUGCAGAGUGUGAAAGACUGUUUUAAUUUUUCUUACCUGAUGGUUUGGAUUUUAUACAAAAUUGUGUUAGUGGCACAAUUGGAUUGAGAAUGCAAAUCUGAGGGAAAUGUAACUUGUUUUUUUGUUUGCUUCGCUGAAAAGUUCAACUGCUCUGCUUCCAUCUGUUCUUAUCUUGCCUUACCUAUUAUGGAGUCCUCAGGCAUUAAAUUUUGUUGUGAUUGCUGCAUUUGAAACCAGAAGUAACCUGAAGAAAAAAGGUCGAGUAAGUAAAUACAUGGUAGCUAUACUAGUAUAGUCACUAGCUUGUAGGCCAGGAAAAGUACCUGUUUAUGCCAUAUGGUUUUUAAAGAGUAUUGAUUUGUCUGUAAAUCAACCAGCCUUGAGGAAAGUGGCUGCAGUGACAGAGGAGUGAAAAAAUGUAAACAUAUUAAACUGUUUUUAAGGGCUUUUGUCUUUAUCAGAACAAAAAAAAAAAUUCUAGAAUGUUAAUUGGAUUUUGGUUAUUAGGAGAAUGGCUAAUUUUAUUUAGAAUAAUUUUAUGUGUUUCUUUAAUGAGCAAGUGAAAAAAACUUGGGAAAAAAGCAGGUGCCCUUAGCAACAAACUUUUUCUUUAUUUAGAUGCUGAACUUUGGCAUAAAUAUCAAGAUUACAGUUCAUAAUAUCCUUCUCCUUCAGCAGGGAAGACUAAAACAGUAAUUAUAGGCCUAAAGAAUAUUACUACAAAAGGAGACCUUCCAGUAGAAAGAAGCAUAUAGCAAUAAGAUUUAACUCAUUCUAAUAAUAAUAAAGUGUUCAGUCAAUUUUGGUGCUAUAGAGAACCUUUUAAAUGUUCAAGGGACAUUUUAGAAGGCUGGAGAGGUAAACGAUUUGUCUAUGGUCACAUAUCACAUUGGUACAGUUAAAAUUGGAAUUAAAUUCAGAUGUGCUAACUCUUGAGCCUCUUCCCCGCCCCAUGCUAGGUACACCAGGCUGCUUAGUUGAAUUUAACUGUCUAGUGUGAAAUUAGCUCCUCCUUUAAAAGCUUUUAAGUAGAAGUUCUUUGAUAAAGAGUUUAGUUGACUUGUGACUUUUGACUUCAUUUAAUCCCAAAGAGAUAUUUAGCUUCUUAACUUAUUUACCAGCCCCCAACCCCCUCCUGUCUUGGUCUGCUAACUCUUAACCUUUUCUUCACUUCCUUUCCUAUUGAGUUUAGACUUUAUUUUUAGCAACCAACAGAAGCCAGCUUUGGCUAGUUUAAGCAGAAAUGAUAUUAAGAGUUAUUAGGUACCUCACACAUUCUUCAGGAGGGCCAAAGAAAAGAGGGAGCCAGGAACAAACUUCAGAAUCACAUCACGAUGAUUUCACUGCCCACACUGUGUGUAACACAUUCUACAGUGUGUGCGGUGUGAUUGUUGAUGUCAAGCGCAGAAUGCUACCACUAGAACUCUGUUGCUAUCUUAGUGGUAACUACUGCAGUUCUCUCCAGAAUGGGUUAUUUCUUUGCUUGUGAUGCGCAAGGCGUGCUGCAUGCAUACUACCAACCUCAUUUUGCCCUAAAUGCUUCCAGGCAGUCCUUUUGUGUGACCACGGGUAAGUUUUUCUUUUUCUACAAGUUACUUAAAAUUUUUACAAUUUUCUUAAUAUCCCAGCUCCAACAUUAUACUAAAGAGUGGGAGCUAAAGGAACAUAGGAAUGAGUGGGGGAGUUUUUACCAUUGUUUAAUAGUUAACAUAGACAAAUGACUAAAAUUACACAUAAGGGCCUGAAAUGAAUGACCAACUUGAAAAAAACAAGUAAAAUUUUAUGGAAGAAAAAAACCCACAAUCUACAUAAUUUUCUACAUAAAAGCUGGAUCAAAGAAAAAAACCAAGUUCACUAGUUUUUGCUAAUAAAUCUUAUGAUUUUAGUGUUCACCACAUAAAACAGGCUUUUAAAAAAUUUCCCUAAUUUUAAUUCAAGAUGAAUACAGAAGAACAUUUCCCACCUCGCCUGCUAAGUUAUAUACCCACUCCCAGAACCUAAAAUAUGCAAUGGGUUUGUUAAUAGUGCCUUGAGGACCAUGGCACACAGCAGUCCCAAUGAACUGUGUUACUAAGCUGGGUCCUUUCUUUUCAUUCAGCAUUCUGAGAUAUCUCUGUCAAAUCAUUUCUGAGAUACAAAGUUCAUUAAGAUAGACAGCUACAUUAUUUAAAUCACUAAAGUCUUAUUUUUAUUUUUUGAGCUGGUGCUAAGAAAAGUUCAAGCAAUGAAGUGUUAUGUCAUUCAUCAAAUCAGGAACCAUAGAAAAUGGAGACGCUUGACUGCCAUGAGUCUACUAAUUAUAGUGCUGAAUAUUCAAAGGACAUUUUUACCACCGAGAACUUCAUGAGUGUUUUAUGAAGGAAUAGUUGACACCAUUUUUAGCUGUGAUUCCAAUAUUUGGAAAUCUUUGAAAAAACAGAGGUAAAAAAGAUGGAGAUGAGGUUUUUAAUCUUUCCAGAAAACUUAAAAAAUGUCUUUAGAAAUAAAGAAGAACAUAAUAGCCCUAUAAUCUGGUUCUGCUCUUCAUAUAUUAAUAAUAUCCUAACUCACACGUCCUGUACCUUCUCUUAAGACCUUGACUACUCACCAAUGAAAUAAACUGCUGGAUGCCAAGAAGUUUUACUCUUCCUUCCAGUUGUUUAAUACCACAAUGCCAUGAACAAAAUAAGCAAUGAAUAAACAUUUGUAAGUAAAUUUAUAUUUCAAAGUCACGAAACAUUUUAGAGCAUGUUGAUUUCAUGCACUAUCAAAGAUAGGCAAAAUGGUUUACCAUCUGAUAAUUCCAAGUCAAAAUAAUAUAUACCAAUUUUUCAGUCAAAUAAAGCAGUUUUUUUUUUCCUAUUUUUAUCUUAAUAAGACUAUACUUUUCUGGUUGCCAGUUCAAAAAGAAAAAAAAAUUAUGACAUUAUGGCUUAAAUUUACCUUUUUCAUGGAGCACCACUUCACGAUUAUGAAGGGUUGAAAAGAGCCCUUUUAACUCCUGUGCUGUUUACUGUCCCUGCCAAACAUUUGACAUUUACUGCUUAUGUAGUUAAUUGUCUUUAUUGUAUACCAUGAAGAUUAAGAAACAUGGGCCAGGCCCAGUGGCUCACGCCUGUAAUCCCAGCACUUUGGGAGGCCAAGGCGGGCGGAUCACGAGGUCAGGAGAUCGAGACCACCCUGGCUAACACAGUGAAACUCCGUCUCUACUAAAAAUAUAAAAAAUUAGCCGGGCGAGGUAGUGGGUGCCUGUAGUCCCAGCUACUCAGGAGGCUGAGGCAGGAGAAUGGCGUGAACCCUGGAGAUGGAGCUUGCAGUGAGCCGAGAUCGCAUCACUGCACUCCAGCCUGGGUGACAGAGUGAGACUCCGUCCCCCCUCCCCCCCGCCCAAAAAAAAGAAAAAGGUUAAGAAACACACACUGAAGCCAGACUGAAUAGAGCCCAACAGCUUGGAUUUGAAUCUUCGCUCUGUCAUUCUCUAGCUUUGGUUGAUUACUCUUUGUUUCUCAGUUGUAAAAUGGGUAUGAGGAUUAAAUGAGCUAAUAUAUAUGUAGCACUUAAGUCAGUAUUUGGCAUAGUUUGUUUUUAACUGUUACCUGAGAUUUUCUUUUAUUGAUUCUCUGCAUAUCUGGGAGCAGUGCUUGAUAAUUGCAUGUGGUCCCUGCUUUUAUGGGCCUUACAGACUGGUGGGAAGGAAAAUAUACACAGACUAUAAUACAACCUGAUGUGUUUAGUGGGCAGAAGAAUUGGGGAGGCAAGAUAGACAAGAAAUAAAGGAAUUCAGCUUAACAGUUUUUCUUCUUGCUGGGACAGUUUGUUAGUAGGAUUAUUCUGAUUUUUGUCCAUUGUCAUUGUCAGUGAUUGGAAUAAUCUUAAAUGCUGUUCCUGAGAUGGAAUUUACCAAUGAACACAGCAGAUACAGUAUUCCUUAUCAGCUCUGUGUGGUACUUAAGCAUUGCAGACGUUCGUUCACUGAGCAAGCAUUUAUUUAGAAUUUACCACCAUUUACCAGCUGAGGUUCCUCUCUUCAAAUAGUUUAGGGUCUGAGAAGUAAACCAGCAGUUAUUGUGCGUAGUUACAGUAAGUGGAGAGGUGGUAAUGAACAGGAAACUAGAAGUACAAGGCAGAAACUUUUAAUUUUUUUUUUUCCAUAUUUUUAGUAGAGACGGGGUUUCACCGUGUUAGCCAGGAUGGUCUCGAUCUCCUGACCUCGUGAUCUGCCCGCCUAGGCCUCCCAAAGUGCUGGGAUUACAGGCGUGAGCCACCGCGCCCGGCCGGGAGAAACUUUUAGACUAAUUCAGACCUGAGAUACAUUCUGAUGUAUCUCAGAUUAUACAUACUUUGCCUUUCAGAAGUCCCUCCAGCUCCCAAGUCUCCAUUCCUUUUCACUGAGCUUCACAGAAACAUUGAUCUGGUCUAGGUUUGAGGGAAAAAAUUAGGAUGUAGAUAUUUCUAGCCCAAGUCAUCUGGCUCCAUCUGUUCAUUAUUACUUCAAGUGGAAUAGAGAGUACUUACCUAUUUGUUACCUAUCAACCCAUAAAUAAAGCUUUUCCCAAAAAAGGAAUACUCUGGUCUAAAGUACUCUGAGAUUUAGUCUUUGGUACCCAGAGUCUUAGAAAUAGCUUCUUCCAUUUUUUCUUCUCUGAAUCUGCCACCUAAGAAAUUGUGAGAUUUAAGUAUGUGGGAGUAGAAGGGAAAAGAAAGAACAAGGGAGGGGUGUGUCUUGAGAAUCAUUAUUCUCCAUUUGACUUUAGGAUAGGCAUUUUCAGGAAAUUCUCAUGGACCCAGUUAGCUUAUCUGGGGGAGUCUAAGUGGUUAGGAGCAAGAUAGGCACAAGAGGUGAAAGCAGAAAGGGAAUACAAAAUUGUCUUAGCUUUGCUUGGUUUGCUUUUAUUAGUUUUCUUAAGCUAGUUUCAUUUUAUUUACUGUUGGAAUCUAUAGGUCUUUUUCAAGGACGUGUUUAGGUGGGUGCUAACUUUGGUUUGGUUUUACCAAAGCAAGGAGUGAUCAUAUAAUGUAAGUUUAAAAAGCUUAGCAAACUUGGGUACAAUAACUUUUAAGAGCAUCAGUUUUUUCAUUCGCGAAGGAAAGGUGGUGAAAUAAGUAGAUGAUGUCUUAUGUCCACUAGGGGGUAGUGUGUACUGUAAAAAUUAAAAUAGUUCCUCAGUGAACUCUUUACUUCAUCAUGCAGUUAGCUAGUUUGAAUUAAUUUUUGUUCAUUUAAUGUGUUUUGAAAUUGCCAUAAAUUGUUUUUUUCAAACACAAUCUUGUGACUGUAGCAAACAGUAACUCUUGUUACAUGCAUUCCUGUUAUUAGUGAUGUCAAAUGUUCUGACAUUACUUUUUUUUUUUUUUUUUUUGAGACGGAGUUUCACUCUUGUUGCCCAGGCUGGAGUGCAACCUCCGUCUCCCAGGUUCAAGUGAUUCUCCUGCCUCAGCCUCCCGAGUAGCUGGGAUUACAGGCAUCAGCACAAUGCCAGGCUAAUUUUAUAUUUUUAGUAGAGACAGGGUUUUUCCAUGUUGGUCUCGAACUCCUGACCUCAGGUGAUCCACCCGCCUCUGCCUCCCAAAGUGCUGGGAUUAUAGGCAUGAGCCACUAUGCCUGGCUGACAUUACUUUUUGAAUAGAAUUUUUUGAGGGGAAAAUAGUGAUGCUUUAAAGUUUCUGUACAAAAUUUUACCUAUUAUAUGAAAUAAAUUAUUCAUAAUGACCAGGCAGUAACAUUAUAACAUGAUUGUUUUGUGUUUCACUCUCCAGACUAAUUUGGGAGCCACUAAUCAUUCCAUGUGGCUGUUGAGUAGUUGAAAUAUGACUUGUUUAAAUUAACAUGUGCUACAAGUGUAAUUUGCACAGUGGGCAUUGAAGGCUAUGAUAAAAGAUAAAAUACUAAAAGAUAAAAGAUAAAUAAUACAUUAAUUUCAUACUGAUUUCAUGUUGAAAUAAUAUUUUGAACACAUUUUUAGAUAAAAUAUAUUAAAAUUAAUUUUACUUGUUUCUUUUUACUUUUUAUGUGGCUACUAGAAAAUUUUAAGAUACUUAUGUGACUAUUAUAUUUCUGUUGGACAGCAGUGCUGUGGAGAAAAGUACUCAUCAGCCAUUUUUAUCUUAGUAUAUCUCUAGGUGGCCUUAUGAUUUGUAAGGAAGUAGUGUAGUGGGGAGCUUGAGCAAAACUUUGGUUCUAUUUCUAAUCCCAGCUAGAAAAUAGGCAGUCAGUUUUACUAUAAUGAGACAUUAUAUGUUCCUAAGAGUGUUAUGUUAUACAAAAUCAUGUAGUAAAAUUCACAGGGCUUACAGAUAAAAUGAAGCAAGGGGUAUGCACUUGAAAAUGUCCAUUGAUGAUAAUUAACUUUUUUUUUUUUUUUUUUUUUUUUAAAGAGACAAGG